This is a non-coding RNA of Nelumbo nucifera (sacred lotus), 73 nucleotides long. Lineage: Eukaryota; Viridiplantae; Streptophyta; Magnoliopsida; Proteales; Nelumbonaceae. The record is from Rfam.
GGGGACGAAGCUUAAAAGGUAGAGUGCUUGCUUUGCUUGCAAGAGGUACGGGGCUCGAUACACCGCAUUUCCA